AACGAACGCUGGCGGCAUGCCUAACACAUGCAAGUCGAACGAGACCUUCGGGUUGAGUGGAGCACGGGUGCGUAACGCGUGGGAACCUGCCCUUAGGUUCGGAAUAACUCCCCGAAAGGGGUGCUAAUACCGGAUAAUGUCUUCGGACCAAAGAUUUAUCGCCUUUGGAUGGGCCCGCGUUGGAUUAGCUAGUUGGUAGGGUAAAAGCCUACCAAGGCGACGAUCCAUAGCUGGUCUGAGAGGAUGAUCAGCCACACUGGGACUGAGACACGGCCCAGACUCCUACGGGAGGCAGCAGUGGGGAAUAUUGGACAAUGGGCGAAAGCCUGAUCCAGCAAUGCCGCGUGAGUGAUGAAGGCCUUAGGGUUGUAAAGCUCUUUUACCCGGGAUUAUAAUGACAGUACCGGGAGAAUAAGCUCCGGCUAACUCCGUG
This 433-nucleotide ribosomal RNA is filed under the name uncultured bacterium. RNAcentral describes it as "partial 16S ribosomal RNA". It matches the Rfam family "Bacterial small subunit ribosomal RNA", at positions 29 to 507 of the family's 1533-position model. The record is from RNAcentral.